GCCGAAAUAGCUCAGUUGGGAGAGCGUUAGACUGAAGAUCAAAAGGUCCCUGCUUUGAACCUGGAUUUCCUCA
This 73-nucleotide transfer RNA is filed under the name Danio rerio (zebrafish). It matches the Rfam family "tRNA". Rfam says of the family: Transfer RNA (tRNA) molecules are approximately 80 nucleotides in length. Their secondary structure includes four short double-helical elements and three loops (D, anti-codon, and T loops). Lineage: Eukaryota; Metazoa; Chordata; Actinopteri; Cypriniformes; Danionidae. The record is from Rfam by way of RNAcentral.